Molecule: unclassified non-coding RNA, 401 nt
Filed under: soil metagenome
Description: partial contains 5.8S ribosomal RNA, internal transcribed spacer 2, and large subunit ribosomal RNA
Rfam family: 5.8S ribosomal RNA (bases 1-122)
Source: RNAcentral
GAUGAAGAACGCAGCGAAAUGCGAUACUUGGUGUGAAUUGCAGAAUCCCGUGAACCAUCGAGUCUUUGAACGCAAGUUGCGCCUCAAGCCAUUAGGUUGAGGGCACGUCUGCCUGGGCGUCACAUAUCGUUGCCUGAUGCCAGUUUCCUCGUGAUGGGUGACUGUGCAGGGCGAAUGAUGGCUUCCCGUGAGCAUUGUUGCCUCAUGGUUGGUUGAAAAUUGAGUCCUUGGUAGGGAGCGCCGUGAUAGAUGGUGGUUGAGUGACGAACGAGACCCAAUCAUGUGAGACCCCUACCGAAUUUGGCCUUCAUGACCCACAUGCGUCUUUGGAACGCUCAUGACGAGACCUCAGGUCAGGCGGGGCUACCCGCUGAGUUUAAGCAUAUCAAUUAAGCGGAGGA